Molecule: small RNA, 585 nt
Filed under: Pan troglodytes (chimpanzee)
Lineage: Eukaryota; Metazoa; Chordata; Mammalia; Primates; Hominidae
Description: processed transcript
Source: RNAcentral
UAAGGGCGAACAAGGCUCCCCGGGACCCAAGGGUGAGAAGGGUGAACCGGGCAGCAUCUUCAGCCCUGACGGUGGUGCCCUGGGCCCUGCCCAGAAAGGAGCCAAGGGAGAGCCGGGCUUCCGAGGACCCCCGGGUCCAUACGGACGGCCAGGGUACAAGGGAGAGAUUGGCUUUCCUGGACGGCCGGGUCGCCCCGGGAUGAACGGAUUGAAAGGAGAGAAAGGGGAGCCGGGAGAUGCCAGCCUUGGAUUUGGCAUGAGGGGAAUGCCCGGCCCCCCAGGACCUCCAGGGCCCCCAGGCCCUCCAGGGACUCCUGUUUAUGACAGCAAUGUGUUUGCUGAGUCCAGCCGCCCCGGGCCUCCAGGAUUGCCAGGGAAUCAGGGCCCUCCAGGACCCAAGGGCGCCAAAGGAGAAGUGGGCCCCCCCGGACCACCAGGUGAGCAACUCUGGACAUCCCAGGCAGGAGAGCCAUGGCGUGGCCAGCACUGAAGUGUCACACCUAGAGCCGCCACCACAAGCAGGUCCUGGACCCUCACUGGGUGGUGACCACCUCACCCUGCGGGAGGAAGGAAGCCCCUUCUGGG